Molecule: ribosomal RNA, 521 nt
Filed under: uncultured bacterium
Lineage: Bacteria
Description: bacterial SSU rRNA
Rfam family: Bacterial small subunit ribosomal RNA
Source: RNAcentral
AGAGUUGAUCAUGGCUCAGGAUGAACGCUAGCUACAGGCUAACACAUGCAAGUCGAGGGGCAGCAUGAAGUCAGCUUGCUGACUUGAUGGCGACCGGCGCGACGGGUGCGUAACACGUAUCCAAUCUGCCCGUUACCCGGGGAUAGCCUUUCGAAAGAAAGAUUAAUACCCGAUGGUUUCGCUUUCUCGCAUGAGAUGGUGAAUAAAGAUUCAUCGGUAACGGAUGAGGAUGCGUCCGAUUAGGUAGUAGGCGGGGUAACGGCCCACCUAGCCGACGAUCGGUAGGGGCUCUGAGAGGAGGAUCCCCCCACAUUGGAACUGAGACACGGUCCAAACUCCUACGGGAGGCAGCAGUGAGGAAUAUUGGUCAAUGGACGAGAGUCUGAACCAGCCAAGUAGCCGUGAGGGACGACUGCCCUAUGGGUUGUAAACCUCUUUUGUUUGGGAAUAAAGUGAGCCACGUGUGGCUUUUUGUAUGUACCUUACGAAUAAGCAUCGGCUAAUUCCGUGCCAGCAGCCGC